Molecule: ribosomal RNA, 253 nt
Filed under: uncultured bacterium
Lineage: Bacteria
Description: partial 16S ribosomal RNA
Rfam family: Bacterial small subunit ribosomal RNA
Source: RNAcentral
UACGUAGGUGGCGAGCGUUGUCCGGAAUUACUGGGUGUAAAGCGCGUGUAGGCGGGAGGCCAAGUCUGCGGUGAAAUCGCUCGGCUUAACUGGGCGGGGUCCAUGGUAACUGGUCACCUGGAGGUCGGUAGAGGCAAGUGGAAUUCCCGGUGUAGUGGUGAAAUGCGUAGAGAUCGGGAGGAACACCAGUGGCGAAGGCGGCUUGCUGGGCCGGACCUGACGCUGAGACGCGAAGGCGUGGGGAGCGAACGGG